UGCAGCUUUUGCUUUUUUGCUUUUGCUUUUUGCUUUGCUCUUUCUCUCUCUCUGGCUCUCGCUUCUGCUUUGCUUCUGCUUGCUUUUGCUUCUGCUCGUUAGCUAGCAUAGCUGAACAGUCCAAAUUUCUUCCUGGACUGUUUCUCCUCUCCUUUUUUUCAACCAUCCCGAACCUGCUCCCGUCUGGGACCCAGGAACACCGACAGUUUGCACCUUGUGGCUGCAGCAGCUGCCCCAGAGCCGGAGGGACUGAGAACAGAGCGACCACCCCUGAGAGAGACUUUCUGAAUUUGUCAUCUUUUUCAGAGUGGUGCCAUCCGGGCUCAGAGAGGGACAUACUGCUCCAGGUGUGGCCUCACUAGCUCUGAGCAGAGGGAAGGAUCACCUCCCACAGCCUGCUGGCAGUACCUCCCUAAUGCAGCUCAGAAUCUCACAAGCCAUCUUUGUGCAAUGGUACAUCACUGGCUCCCAUUCAGCUCUGCGUCUUCCACAGGAUCUUCUCUCCAGAGCUGCUUUCCAGGCUGCAUGGACUCCUCAGCCUCAACAGCUGGGGAGGCAAACAGCACCCAGCUGCCAUUUUCUCAACAAGCUCAUCCUUGUGAUCCAGCCUGCUCUGCUGAGAACAAGAACAAGCCUCUCCACAUGAGCUACAACGGGCAGUCCUAUGCACAGCUCACACAGUGCUCAUUAAUUUUCUAACAUAGCACAGA
Melospiza melodia melodia is the source of this 710-nucleotide long non-coding RNA. RefSeq lists it as uncharacterized. The transcript is spliced from 3 exons. NCBI's taxonomy places the organism in Eukaryota, Metazoa, Chordata, Aves, Passeriformes, Passerellidae. The record is from RefSeq and is a predicted model, not a curated record.